Molecule: long non-coding RNA, 455 nt
Organism: Rhipicephalus sanguineus (brown dog tick)
Lineage: Eukaryota; Metazoa; Arthropoda; Arachnida; Ixodida; Ixodidae
Exons: 3
Source: RefSeq, a predicted model, not a curated record
ACACUGUAGGGGACGGCCGCCAUUUCUUUUGUAUGAUUUCUUGGUAACGCGAAGCGGGCUUUUCAACAACUUCCUCUUCGAGAACUGCGUACCUGGCUUCACGCUCCGUAGAGGUUCUACACGACUGGAGAUCCCGUGUCUGACUUGCGGCCGUGGACGAGCUCCUUGUCUGAGUAUUACUUGACCAAGAUGAGCUAUGCUAUUGUGGAGUUCACUGCCUCUAAAGAGGUUGAAAUUGUGCCAACUACUUGGGUCACCGGGAGCGUGUGCGUCUGGCCGCAUAAUGUAAAAGCAGAGAAGGCUGGGAAAAUGGCAAAGAAGCAGCAUCCACCACAGUCAUGGUGGAAGCAGUAUGAAAUUGCUGUGAAAGGUUUGUUCGUUACCUAUGAACAUGCCCGGAAAAAGCUAAAUGACAGUCAGUUCCAUUCAGACCUGGCCAGUGAAACUGAAAUGCC